Molecule: long non-coding RNA, 1878 nt
Organism: Corvus moneduloides (New Caledonian crow)
Lineage: Eukaryota; Metazoa; Chordata; Aves; Passeriformes; Corvidae
Source: Ensembl
GGGCGGAGCCGGGCAGCGCUGCGCAUGCGCACUGGCUUUACGCGCGCAGUGCGGUGCUCGGCGGGCGCCGUUCCGCGGGGCCGGCCCGGCCGUGCGGGGCCGCCGCGGUGCCCCGGAGCGGCUUGGAAGCGCCAGGCGCGGGUCCCGGCCGCGGCAGCGGCGGGCGAGGGUUGUGCUGACAAUGGAGGAGGGCGGCUGUUGCUGUGGCUGCAGCGAGGUUGAAGGAGCACUCGUGAGAAGUUUCCCAUUUGGAAUUGGGCUCCUGAAGAAAGGAACCUGAAACUGCUGUUUCUGAUAAAUCCCCCAGGGAAAAGCUGGAGAAAAGGUGGAGAGAGUGGCAAGCGGGAAUCCCAUGUUUAGAUCUGCCCUUGGAUUCCAGUUCCUCCUGGGGGGUCUGUGCUGCCCAAAGAACAAAGGAAGGAGAUGUUGGAGUACCUGUUUGUUCCCCUGUUGAGCUUGGAAGAGAUGCUGAGGGUGAAAUUCCAGGGAAGCUGCGCUUGCAGAGCGACUGGAGUGUGAAGCAGUGGCAGCUGUUUGCCGUGGACCGGUUUCCCUCCUUCACUUCGGUUCCCUGGUAUAACAGCUGGGGAUGGGGUCAGCGGCUCUGACCCAGGAAGAGGUGACCGGUCCGGGGAGAUGGUCCCGAAAGGAAUCGCCUUCCCGAGGGCCGGUGUCUUCCCUCAGCCGGUGGCAGGAGGGCCCUUGCAGAGACUGUCAGCUCUUUAGUGAUGAUCAGCUCGUGAUUCCAGCUCAGCUCUGCAGGGCAGCCUCCAGGCCAAGCCAGACCAGAGAGAGAGACGAUGGCUGGUUCCGCACAGAGGGAGUUCUGCUGGGCGAUUGCGAAAUCUCUUAUUUCAGCAGAGAUCCCUCCAGGGGAGUGGCUGGGCAUACCCCACACCCUGGCACUCCAGGUCCCCGAGGCGGCUUCGGAUCUCCGCGGUCACCGACGCUGCCGAUUUUCCCGGCGCGCGCCGUUCGACGUCGAGGAGCGGCAUCCAGAAGCUGUGUCGGAGCAUCUUCCUGGCUGGAAUGUUUUGACAAAGACCAUCCAGAACUGCCACCUCACCCUCACGGACAGCAGGAAUGUCUUCCAUAGCUCGUUUCGGAAAGGGAAUGGCUGUUGGGAGCUCUGGCAGGACCAGAGCCCAGCUGCGGGGUCCUCACCGGGGGGAGGAAGCUCAUCCACAGCAGAAGGGGUGACAUGGCCCAGCACAGGGGCCCCCAGACCCUGCAGCAGAGCACCAGAGAUGAUGCAACAGACCCUCAGUGUUGCAAGGGACAGUGUCAAGCCGGCCCCUGCAAGAGAGGCACGUGGGCGUUCCCGCCUGGCCCAAAGUGUGCAUUAACCCACGGAGUUCUGCACCCUUCGGCUGUGGCAGCAUGUGGCGGCGUGGCCACGGCGCCCACGGGGGACCCUCACCGCCGGCAGAGCGGAUGGAGGGGAGCAACGAGACGUCGUUGGCACCCUCAGAUGGGUGAUGGGCUUCCAUCCAACCCCUCUCCCUGUUCCCCCACGCACCCUUCUGUUUUCUAUUUCUUUCUCUCUCUUCCCUUCUCUUUGCCUCUCUACUAUUAAAUAAAAUACAUCCAUUUUUUUGGCAACAACAUCUAGCCUCGUUUGGUUUUAAUCUCGUUUCUGGGGAUAUUUUGAACCUUCUAAGUUCUUUCUGGUUUAUGCACAGAGACUGAGCUUGCUUUGCUUUUCUGGGUUUAAACCGGAUCGUAACAGGGCGGGUGUGGAGGAGUUUUUCUCCCUCUCCUGUUCAUUAGUGUUACCACUGCUCUUGUUGCUCUCACUAUGUGUUGUCAUUAAUCUCAAAUGAUUGUAUUUGGUUUCCAUUCUUAAACUGUUCUGAGCUGGAAUUUUGUCUCUUCCCC